UCCUCGAUUUAAAUACAGUGAUUGCUACCUUUUCCUAAGGUUAAUCCUAAACCCUAUAAUGACUAACCCGAAACUCAUUUCGGGAGUUUUGAACGGAAUCCUUGUCAAAGUAUUCGCGUCACUCUAUUAAGAAAGACCCCUUUUUCUGCGACUUUUUCACUGUUGAAGUUGCCGGCUAUGAUCAUCUAGAUUAUUUAUAGAUGAUAAUAUCUCAUUAGUUAAUUUGCAAAUUAGUUCGCCUUUGUUUUAAGCCCAAUGGCAAUGACAUCAAUUCCGGCAAUUUGACAGUGGAAAGUUUUUAUCGUCGAGGUUUUUCUAUAGAAUUUUUCCUUCGAGGUUUUAGUUCUCGAAAUAUUUCGAAAACUGUAAAACAACAUUUGAAGCUGUUAAAAGGUCCACCAUGCAUAUUAUAUAAGUACAAUUUAAUGUCAAAGCAUUUUCAUUAAGAUAUAUACAUCAGAAUGUCACAGAAUUGUUUAUAAUGGUCGAAUAGACAAAUUUAACUAACAUUGUUUAUGAGGCCUGUUUUUUACGUCGAAUUUCGGUCGCGUCGAAUGCAAUUCAAACAAUAGAUAAUGAAGCUUGAUUAGGUUUAUCAUCUCAUUAUCUAUUGUCUUAAUUGCAUUCAACACGACCAAAAUUAGACGUAUAAAACGGGCCUGAAACACUUUGCUACCCAAUUCACAACUUGAGAUAACUCAUAAUUGUAU
Paramuricea clavata is the source of this 710-nucleotide non-coding RNA. The record is from the annotation of a GenBank genome assembly. Lineage: Eukaryota; Metazoa; Cnidaria; Anthozoa; Malacalcyonacea; Plexauridae.